RNAcentral lists this ribosomal RNA (517 nucleotides) under uncultured bacterium. RNAcentral's name for it is "bacterial SSU rRNA". It matches the Rfam family "Bacterial small subunit ribosomal RNA", at positions 9 to 526 of the family's 1533-position model. The record is from RNAcentral.
GAGUUUGAUCCUGGCUCAGGAUGAACGCUGGCGGCGUGCUUAACACAUGCAAGUCGAACGAAGCACCUUGAUUUGAUUCUUCGGAUGAAGAUCUUGGUGACUGAGUGGCGGACGGGUGAGUAACGCGUGGGUAACCUGCCUCAUACAGGGGGAUAACAGUUAGAAAUGACUGCUAAUACCGCAUAAGACCACAGCACCGCAUGGUGCAGGAGUAAAAACUCCGGUGGUACAGGAUGGACCCGCGUCUGAUUAGCUGGUUGGUGAGGUAACGGCUCACCAAGGCGACGAUCAGUAGCCGGCUUGAGAGAGUGAACGGCCACAUUGGGACUGAGACACGGCCCAGACUCCUACGGGAGGCAGCAGUGGGGAAUAUUGCACAAUGGGGGGAACCCUGAUGCAGCGACGCCGCGUGGAGGAAGAAGGUCUUCGGAUUGUAAACUCCUGUUGUUGAGGAAGAUAAUGACGGUACUCAACAAGGAAGUGACGGCUAACUACGUGCCAGCCGCCGCGGUAAUUC